RNAcentral lists this ribosomal RNA (69 nucleotides) under Angraecum sesquipedale. Its description in RNAcentral is "partial 5.8S ribosomal RNA". It matches the Rfam family "5.8S ribosomal RNA", at positions 1 to 64 of the family's 154-position model. Rfam says of the family: 5.8S ribosomal RNA (5.8S rRNA) is a component of the large subunit of the eukaryotic ribosome. It is transcribed by RNA polymerase I as part of the 45S precursor that also contains 18S and 28S rRNA. Lineage: Eukaryota; Viridiplantae; Streptophyta; Magnoliopsida; Asparagales; Orchidaceae. The record is from RNAcentral. RNAcentral also lists the same sequence under 74 other names.
GACACGACUCUCGGCAAUGGAUAUCUCGGCUCUCGCAUCGAUGAAGAGCGCAGCGAAAUGCGAUACUUG